RNAcentral lists this ribosomal RNA (1308 nucleotides) under uncultured archaeon. Its description in RNAcentral is "bacterial SSU rRNA". It matches the Rfam family "Archaeal small subunit ribosomal RNA", at positions 21 to 1337 of the family's 1478-position model. The record is from RNAcentral.
CCCGACUGCUAUCAGAGUGGGACUAAGCCAUGCGAGUCAACAUAGCAAUAUGUGGCAUACGGCUCAGUAACACGUAGUCAAUAUGCCCAGGGGACGUGGAUAACCUCGGGAAACUGAGGAUAAACCGCGAUAGGUCAUCACUUCUGGAAUGGGUAAUGACUUAAAUCUAUAUGGCCCCUGGAUUGGACUGCGGCCGAUCAGGCUGUUGGUGAGGUAAUGGCCCACCAAACCUGUAACCGGUACGGGCUCUGAGAGGAGGAGCCCGGAGAUGGGCACUGAGACAAGGGCCCAGGCCCUAUGGGGCGCAGCAGGCGCGAAACCUCUGCAAUAGGCGAAAGCUUGACAGGGUUACUCUGAGUGAUUUCCGUUAAGGAGAUCUUUUGGCACCUCUAAAAAUGGUGCAGAAUAAGGGGUGGGCAAGUCUGGUGUCAGCCGCCGCGGUAAUACCAGCACCCCGAGUGGUCGGAACGUUUAUUGGGCCUAAAGCAUCCGUAGCCGGUUCUACAAGUCUUCCGUUAAAUCCACCUGCUUAACAGAUGGGCUGCGGAAGAUACUAUAGAGCUAGGAGGCGGGAGAGGCAAGCGGUACUCGAUGGGUAGGGGUAAAAUCCGUUGAUCCAUUGAAGACCACCAGUGGCGAAGGCGGCUUGCCAGAACGCGCUCGACGGUGAGGGAUGAAAGCUGGGGGAGCAAACCGGAUUAGAUACCCGGGUAGUCCCAGCUGUAAACGAUGCAGACUCGGUGAUGAGUUGGCUUAUUGCUAACUCAGUGCCGCAGGGAAGCCGUUAAGUUUGCCGCCUGGGGAGUACGGUCGCAAGACUGAAACUUAAAGGAAUUGGCGGGGGAGCACCACAAGGGGUGAAGCCUGCGGUUCAAUUGGAGUCAACGCCGGAAAUCUUACCGGGGGCGACAGCAGAGUGAAGGUCAAGCUGAAGACUUUACCAGACAAGCUGAGAGGAGGUGCAUGGCCGUCGCCAGCUCGUGCCGUGAGGUGUCCUGUUAAGUCAGGUAACGAGCGAGAUCCCUGCCUCGAGUUGCUACCAUUAUUCUCAGGAGUAGUGGAGCUAAUUAGAGGGACCGCCGUCGCUGAGACGGAGGAAGGUGGGGGCUACGGCAGGUCAGUAUGCCCCGAAACCCUCGGGCCACACGCGGGCUGCAAUGGUAAGGACAAUGAGUUUCGAUUCCGAAAGGAGGAGGCAAUCUCUAAACCUUACCACAGUUAUGAUUGAGGGCUGAAACUCGCCCUCAUGAAUAUGGAAUCCCUAGUAACCGCGUGUCACUAUCGCGCGGUGAAUACGUCCCUGCUCCU